GGAGGGAAUGGCACUUGAAGCUGUGGUCUUUCCAGAUGACCCCUUUAAUUAUUAUAAUUGCAAAGAAGUCCAAAGCUUGUUGGGAGAGUGUUGGAGCUUUGACUUUGGUGAUCAAGAGCAGUGUGAGAACAGCCAUUUCCUUAGUACUCUGGAGAUCCAAACAGAAGACCACGAAUGUAGUGGGUGGAAUCAUCAGUCAAAUGUAUCAUCAAAGGCUUUGAUCGACCGGCCAAAGCGGUGUCGGUACAAGAGGAGGAAGAACAAAAAAGAGAUGGAGAGUCAGAGGAUGGCUCACAUUGCCACUGAGAGGAAUAGAAGAAAGCAGAUGAAUGAGCACCUCUCUGUUUUGCGUUCUCUCAUGCCUGACUCUCAUGUCCAAAAGGUAAACAAUCUCUCUCUCUCUCUCUCUCUCUCUCUUCCAUUUGCUUGCCUGCCAGCGCUUUUUAGGGAAACUUCAUGUGGCACAGUCAUCACUAACAUAAAGUUCACUCAUUUAAGUGAAGUCGAGGAAAUUGCACAUUGCUUUUGGACAAUUCACUGGCAGUGGCAGCAUAACUCUUUGAAUCCAGCAUCAUUCUACUCUUUUUCUCUAGAGAUACUAUUACCAUAUUUUGUAAAGUCAAACAAGCAUAUUUCUUAAAAGGAUGCUUAUUCAAAAUCAAAAUUCAAGUAGACCAUCACGUUGGUGAAAGCGACUUUCUUAUGCUUUUUUCACAUUCGAUCUCCUUUUACGUUAAUUCGACUCGAAGUAUUGGCACUGUAAAAUUGAUCAGGUUGAUCAAGCAUCAAUUAUAGGCGGUGCCAUCAAUUACGUUAAAGAGCUAGAGCAACAAUUGCAGCAGCUUGGUGCUCACAAAGAAAUGGAAGGACAGAGUUCAAAAUGUGAAGAUGACAUCUCCUCCCCUCCUUUCUCUGAAUUCUUCACCUGUCCACAGUACUCGGCAAGCCCGGGUCAAGGCAAUGACUCAGUGCCCAUGAACGAGUGGACGAGCCUCACUCAGUCUGCAAUCGCUGACAUUGAAGUGACCAUGGUGGAGACCCAUGCAAAUCUCAAGGUAAGGUCAAAGAGAAGACCCAAGCAGCUGUUGAGGUUGGUUUCUGGGUUGCAGAGUGUGGGACUCACUGUGCUACACCUCAAUGUCACCACAGCUGAACCCUUCGUUCUCUAUUGUCUCACUCUCAAGGUACGAUUUCAAUUAUUUUUUCUUCCUGUUUCUCUACCUUAAGAUGUUCUUUCAUGUGUCGCUUGAUGUGGUGCCAAGUCGGUGCCAUGCCAGUGGUAACUUGUCCAAAUUUUGUCACGGCGAUAAAACCAUAUGAGCAUUUUAGCGGUGUUAGUUACAACAGGCAAGGUGGCGCAAGGGCAAAAUUGUACAUACAUUGAGCAUUGGAGGACUCGAUGAGAAAGGAAGAUAAACAAAAGCAGUAAAUAGACGACAGAUCUGGAACAUGGUUCUUGAGAUUUUGGAAGAUUCAUGAUUUGGAAUCUGAGGGGUGUGAAUUUGAACCUUGAAUUUGCAGGUUGAAGAUGGUUGCCAGAUGACUUCAGGGGAUGAAAUUGCCGCAGCUGCGAAUCAGAUUCUAAGCAGCAUUCAAGAGUGAGGGUCUCUCUUUGAUCCUCAGAACCCUGAAG
This 1633-nucleotide long non-coding RNA is filed under the name Eucalyptus grandis. Its description in RNAcentral is "long non-coding RNA (EGRA_LNC000842)". Lineage: Eukaryota; Viridiplantae; Streptophyta; Magnoliopsida; Myrtales; Myrtaceae. The record is from RNAcentral.